ACUCGGACCGUGUCAACCGGACGCGACGGAAGUGGAGAAUGCGGGAAUUUUUCCGGUUUCUUCCCGCAACCAACGAAAACGGUAGUCGAACUCCCAACCCGUCCGGUUC
Molecule: small RNA, 109 nt
Filed under: Sinorhizobium terangae
Lineage: Bacteria; Pseudomonadati; Pseudomonadota; Alphaproteobacteria; Hyphomicrobiales; Rhizobiaceae
Description: Rhizobiales sRNA Atu_At1
Rfam family: Rhizobiales sRNA Atu_At1
Source: Rfam by way of RNAcentral